UACGGAGGGUGCGAGCGUUAGCCGGAAUUACUGGGCGUAAAGCGUGCGCAGGCGGUUUUGUAAGGCAGGUGUGAAAUCCCCGGGCUUAACCUGGGAAUGGCAUUUGGGACUGCAAGGCUUGAGUGCGGCAGAGGAGACUGGAAUUCCUGGUGUAGCAGUGAAAUGCGUAGAUAUCAGGAGGAACACCGAUGGCGAAGGCAGGUCUCUGGGCUGACACUGACGCUCAUGCACGAAAGCGUGGGGAGCAAACAGG
This 253-nucleotide ribosomal RNA is filed under the name uncultured bacterium. RNAcentral describes it as "partial 16S ribosomal RNA". It matches the Rfam family "Bacterial small subunit ribosomal RNA", at positions 524 to 776 of the family's 1533-position model. The record is from RNAcentral.